GCUAUAUAUAUAUAUAUACACACACACACACACACACACAUUAUUUUUAUUAAAAUUAACAAAGAGAUCUGAUGGUGUUUUAUUUGUUCAGGACGGGCGUCUGAUAGCAGAUCCAUCAGAUCCUCAAACACUGAUUGUUCCUGUGACGGCUGUAAAAUCUGAUCGUCUCGUCACGUCUCACUGUGUGAAUCUGAAUCAUGAAAUCAUCUGUGAUUCUGCUGAUGGAGUAAAUCAACUUAAUCGCUCAACAUUCAUCUGUUUUCAUUAUCAGUAUCCUUAUGUUCGUUGGGUGAAAAAGAAAACCUCAAUAAACAAAGUAAAAAAGAAUUUGACUGAUAUCAUUCNUGAGAUAAACUCUGUGUUGAACUGAAUCUUGUGUGAAUCUUCAAGUGAAUCAGGAUGAUUGUGGAUGUGUUUUUCAGUGAGGAAUGAAACUGCAGCGACUCCAAACUCAGAUCUCCUGAAUGAAGUGAGUCCAGAUCUCCAACAUUCAGGUAAAACAUUAAGAGCGUGACAUCUGUGGAUGUGCUUCCUGAUAUUCUUUUCAUUAUGUUCAUAUAUCAGCUGAGUUCAUUGGUUCGUUUGUUUAUUUGUUCAUUCAGUCGAUCGGCUGAUUGUAUUUUCUAUCUCUUGUAUACAGUAGAUCACUUCUGGUGGCUUUUGGCUGUUUUCAUCAUUGUUCUUCUCAUCAUCUUCUUGAUCUGUUUGUUGAAGCGUAAAAGCAUUUUCAGAUGUUUUCAGAGGUUCAUCUGUCAGCGUGACGAUGAUGAUUCAGAAAACAGGGAUCCUGAAGCUGCUGUCCAAAUGAUCUGAUGCUCCUGAUUCACUGAAUCAAUCUCAGUGUGAAUCGACUCACGUCAUUUACUCAAACGUCACUGUGAUCUUUGACAUGAAGAUGAUGAAGGGAGUUUGCAUUCAUUCUGAGCUUCUCAACUCUUAUUUAUUCUCAUUCGUCCUCAAAUGUAAUGCAUAUGAUUACAUGAGAUAUAAAACACUGAAGCAUCUUACAAUCAAAAUGUGUUGCGUUUGUUUUGUACAUCAUUUAUCAGUUUAAUAAUUCAUGAUCAUUUCGUCAUUUACAUCUAUUCAUUCAAUCGUUUAUAUUGUUUUAUUAUGUUUUAGAUUAUUGUUAUUAGGUUGUUCAUCCUGGUGUUUUUCAUGCUUCAUGUAAUGUGUGUCAUCAUGAAUGAGACGAGGGUGAAUGUCUCCAGCUGCAGGGUUUUAAAGGAUGUCUUGUUAUACAGUAAUAACUCUUGCUGUAGGUUGUACUGAUCAGAUGAAGUCUGACUGAGCAGUGAAACAGACACAACUAAGGUUUUGCAGAGGAGCAGUCAUCUGAGUGUUCAAACUAAAAUCAGGUGGAAAGAACAGGGAGGAGAGGAAAAAUAAACAGAUGAAGUAUCAGAUUGGUGAUGUAUGU
Long non-coding RNA from Cyprinus carpio (common carp), 1420 nucleotides. Lineage: Eukaryota; Metazoa; Chordata; Actinopteri; Cypriniformes; Cyprinidae. The record is from Ensembl.